CAGAUAUGUUAUUCUUUAAGCUCUCAUUUUUACCUAGAAACUCUACUAAAAUUUUCGUUCGAGCACUCCAUUCUUAUUGAGGCAGAGAACUGACUUGAGUGUCGGAGGGUCUUGCCGGAGCAACCCCACCUCCGGUUUAGACUUCUUUUGCAGGUCCCAGCGGCGACCGCGACUCCCUCGACUCCAGCUCCUCCGAUGCAGGUGGAUUUUUGCACCAACAGGAUUGGUGCUAGAGGAAGGGGCUUGAACCUUCGUAGUACCCUUGUUCUUAAAGGAGCGCUCAACGGGACUGCCUCCGGGCAUUUUUUCCAGCAUCCUCUCCUCCUUCCUCCACUAGGUCUUUGCCUGAUGCCUCCCCGCAAGGCAUCCAUGCGAUGAUCCAUGACCUCCACGGCCAGAUCUC
This 403-nucleotide long non-coding RNA is filed under the name Elaeis guineensis (African oil palm). RNAcentral describes it as "long non-coding RNA (EGUI_LNC073759)". The record is from RNAcentral. Lineage: Eukaryota; Viridiplantae; Streptophyta; Magnoliopsida; Arecales; Arecaceae.